AUGGCGAUCGUCCCGCACGGCGCCGGGGGGAGCACGGUGUCCAUGGCGAUGCCGAUGCUCACACCGGACAACUACACGGUGUGGGCGAUCAAGGCCGAAGCCAUCCUCGACGCCCAGAACCUAUGGGAAGUGGUGUCGCCAGCGAGCGGUGCGGCGGUCGACACGGGGAAGAACAAGACGGCGAGCGCGAUGCUGUUCGGUGCGCUCUCCGAAGACUUGUUGAUGCAGAUAUCGACGAAGAAGACGGCGGCUGAGGUGUGGGCCAGCUUGAAGACAAGGUUCGUCGGUGCCGAUCGGGUCCAGGCCGCGCGGCUCUCCACCCUCCGUGGCGAGUUUGACAACCUGCGCAUGGAGGAGGGGGAGGCGCUGGACACAUACGCCGGCAAGAUCGGCGGCAUGGCAGCAAGGUAUGCUGGCCUCGGCUCGACGCUCGGCGACGCCGCCGUGGUGAAAAAACUGCUCGACACAGUGCCCGAUCGGUUGUAUGCCGCGGUGGCCGGGAUCGAGCAGUUCUGCGACGUGGAGACGAUGGCGUUCGAGGAGGCAUUGAGCAGGCUCAAGGCGUUUGACGAAUGCUUACGUCGGCGCACGCAGGACAACGGCGGACGAGGCGGCGAUCAGCUGAUGUUCACGGCGGCCCAGUGGGAGGCACGACAACGUCAGCGCGGCGGCAACCUCGACCAUGACGACGGUGCGAGCAGCAUGGCCUUGGGCACGAGACGGCGGCGCGGGAAGUGCUACAACUAUGGCGUUCAUGGCCACUUCUCCCGCGACUGCCGGCAGCCGAAGAAGGAGAAGGCGCUCCUCGGCAACAUCGACGACGAGCCGACCUUACUAUAG
Molecule: ribosomal RNA, 840 nt
Filed under: Triticum aestivum (bread wheat)
Lineage: Eukaryota; Viridiplantae; Streptophyta; Magnoliopsida; Poales; Poaceae
Description: partial small subunit ribosomal RNA
Source: RNAcentral